CCAUUAUCAACGCUUAAUUCCCAUAUAGGGAAACGGGGGACCCAGUUUAAGCUAUCUAGGAUAGAUACCUUAUAGGGGUGAAUCCUCUUGGCAUCUUCGAUGCCCGGGGGUAGGGCACUCUCAAGCCCGAAUCCGACAGCUAACCUCGUAAGCGAUUUGAGAGAGAAGCA
Molecule: small RNA, 170 nt
Filed under: Paenibacillus sp.
Lineage: Bacteria; Bacillati; Bacillota; Bacilli; Caryophanales; Paenibacillaceae
Also listed under: 1 other name
Description: c-di-AMP sequence
Rfam family: c-di-AMP riboswitch aptamer (ydaO/yuaA leader)
About the family: This family represents a conserved RNA structure found upstream of the ydaO and yuaA genes in Bacillus subtilis and related genes in other bacteria.
Source: RNAcentral